Heterocephalus glaber (naked mole-rat) is the source of this 3954-nucleotide long non-coding RNA. Lineage: Eukaryota; Metazoa; Chordata; Mammalia; Rodentia; Bathyergidae. The record is from Ensembl.
GCCCGGAGCGCGGGCGGGGGUCGGUCCUUCGGCGGAGACAGCGCGCCCUGGGUCCCGGCGGGGCCGCGAGCAGGACCCGGACUGGGCGCGGGGAGGGGCGCCAGGCAGACGCGGCCUCCGCGAGCGGUCACCUCGGCGCCGGCCUCCCGCCGCGGACGCCGCCUGGACGACCGUCAGCUCCUCGAUUACCACCGUGGGGAUCGCCCGGUCGCAAAAGCAGUGUGUGCCUGGCCCCGCGUGGGUGAUUCCCCAGCCCUCGAACUGACUUACUGGUAACUGAAGGACAUCCCCCUCAUGAGCAGCACAGUUGGAGCCUGAGAAAGGUGCUUAUCUUAAGGGAGAAAUGUUUGGAGGCAACUCUGUACCAGAGGACAGGAAAUUUGUUCGCACUUGAGCUUUAGCUCCACCCUUGCCCUGCAGGGCAGGACAGUAAAUGAAUUGAACCUUGCCAGGAGGGGACGACGGCUGAUUCCCGGGGGUCACCUUAUACUCGGUGUGGGCGCAGCUCGAGUUGCGGCUCCAACAAGAGCAGAAAUGUAGAGCUAGAGGUAUUUUGGUUCAUUUCUGGGGAUUGGACCCAGGGCCUGACGAACAUUAGGCAAGCACUUUGUUGCUGAGCUGUACUUCCAGUCCCAAGUUUCAGAAUGUUUACAUGUUGACAGCUACUUAAUUAGAAAAGUUUUCAUAGGUGGGUCCAUCAGCAGGCCACCAUCAGUCCCCUGUGCAACAUGUGCAGUGAGAAACAACUGGUGUAUAGCACAGUGUGUACCUCAGAACCUCAGGUGGGAAGCGGGACAGAAAGCUGGAGGCCGAGUGAGGAGACCCAGAUCCCGGGCCUCCACCCCAAAGGCCCAUGCAAUUUGGCUCACACCCCACCCUGCACACCCACUGCUACCACACUGCUGAGGCACAGUGAGGCUUCCACACCAGUGUGGUGCCAGGCCUCUGAAGGGUGGGCUGUGCCUCCUGCACCCACGAGUCUGCUGACAUCACCCCAGCAACCUGUGGCGCUCCCCACAUCCCAGCCAUCGAAGGACGGAGCAGGGUUAAGGAUCAGCACCAAUGCAUCCCAACGUCCCUUAAGGGCAGUUUUCUGCAGCAAAGGACAUGGGAAAUGUGAGAGCCACAGUAGAGGCAGCUCAGUUACAACUGGUUUUUGCAAGAGGAUGCAGAGGGUUAGUGAGUGUGUUCUUCCCCUCGUCUUGCAUGUGCUAGAGGGAGUGGGAACAUUCACCUUGUUGUCCAGUGACUCAGGGCCAGUUUUCCUUAGAUAGCUCUAUGGGCUGGGGAGCACUGUAUAGCUCAGAUUUAGCACUUCAAAGCAAUAAAGUAAAAUAAAAUAAUAAAUAGCUCAUGGUUUUACAUGUUGCCCCAAGCAGUUAUGACUUGUGGUUUGAAAUAAAAAAUUAUAUCUAGCAUAAAAAGAGAAAGAGGGGUCAGGAUGUAGCCCAGCAGCACAGACACCUGCCUGGCAAGCUUGAGGUCCUGAGUUCGACCUCAAGGUCCUUUAGGUCUCCGGUACCAAAUAAAUAAAGAGAGAAAAAGGGAAUUAAAUUAAUUUAUAUGCACCAUGUUUGAACAUUAAAAGAGUUUGUGAUUAGCAACAGCAAACACAAAACAGUACAUCCUUGCCAACCACGCUGCAGAUGAGCUGGGCAGUGGGCAGAAAAGUGUUUCUAUGAAGCCAGCCGUUUUGUGGGCCUUUUAAAUGUAUUGAGCAGUAUAUUAUUUUUUUCCAGUACAAGUAGAGCAUGAGACACACUCGCUUAAAUAUAAGAUAAAGUGAGCCAGGCAUGGUGGCACACACCUGUAAUCCCAAUACUCGAGAGGCUGAGGCAGGAAGAUCGCUGUGAUUUCAAGGCCAGCCUGUGCUAUACAGUGGGUUCAAGGCAGUCUGAACUACGUAGCAAGACCUUGUCUCAAAACGCACAAAAAAAUAAAAAUUUAAAAAGAACAAACAUAACUGAAAAUCAGUGAUUUCCAUCUUACUCCAGCUGUGAACUGUAUGUAUUGCGGGCUUUGUUGUCUGUGCUCUUGUUUGCAUGAAAUCCUUCACCAUAGGAAAAAUUUUUUAAAAGACAGCUGCAUGGCAGCUGGGAGCCCAGGGCUUGUUCCCAGAGCCUCAUUUCCUAGGUGACUUUGCCAGCCCAGCUGGCAGCCCUCCUCGGCCUGUGCAGAUGAAGGGACAUGUCUGUGGUCAGAAGGAUCCACAGACACCUAGCUCCUGAGUGCAGAAUGCUGUGUGGCUAGAGAUGGGCAGGGCUGCCCAAACGUUAACAUAAACAUGUGCUCUUAACACUACAGAAAUUCACUCUUCCAGUUCUAGAAGUCUGGAACCGAGGUGUGGGCAGCAUAGAUGCUGUGGGGGCAGGCCCUUCCUCACCUCUAGCUGCAUUCGGCUCUGGGUGGUCUUUGGCUGUGGUAGCAUCACUCCACUGUCCACCUCGCUGCUUCCUGCCUGUCUGUGGCUUCUGUCUUAUUGUCACCCCCUGAGAUAAAGUCUCUGCGUGGCCCGGGAUUACCUGGAAAUCUUAGGGCUUGCAUGAACUUACUGCCUCUACCUCCUGAGUAGCUGUCACUUCUCUUCUUAUAAAGAUACCAGUCCAGACUGGGCAUGAUGGCACACACCUGUAAUUCCAGCAUUUGAAAAACUGAGCCAAGAGAAUUGCCAAGAGUUCAAGGCCAGCGUAAACUACAUAGCGAAACCCUGUCUCAAAAGCAACAACGGUACUAGUUCUUGGAUUCUAGAUCCACCUAAAUACAGAGUGAUUUCAUCAAGAGAUCUUUAACUCAUUAUAUCUGCAGAGAUGACCACCAAAUAAGGUCAUUCCUUACAUUAGAGGGGGAAAGGGUCACUGUUCCACUAUGUAUACCAGGUGAUGAGUUUAUCUACUUAUGAAGAGAAGACCUUGGAAAGGUCGGAAGGCGCUUGGCCUGACCAACCCCUCACCCUGGAACACAUCCUGGGGAAGCUAGUGCAGGACGCAGCAGCCUGCAACUGGGGGAGUCCGGGACACAGGCCACCAGUCAAGACAGCCCCCUCCCUGCCCUACUUUCUCAAGAAAAUACAGCUCAAAUCUGCUCACUCAAGCAAGACACCAGGGACAGAUUCAGGCAGACACCAGUAACAAUCAGGAGUAAUGUACUGAGCGCUCCAUGUGUGCCAGGCUGAGCCCGUCAGCAGGGAAGGGAACUAAAGCUUGAGAAGUAUGAGUCUAUGGUCCAAAGUUGUAUCCUUGUGCUCACCUCGGCAGCAUUACGCCAAAGUUGUAUUCUCAAUCACGGUAGAAAGCCACACUCAAACCCUGAGGCUGCGGCACAUCUGAUCUGCACUGUCCAGGCACCAGGACUGACCUCUGUCCACAUGCUGAGCACAGAUGUCCUCUCACUGAGAUAGGCAGAAGCAAGCCUCCCUCCUGAGCUUGACCUGGACCUCUUGAGUGGGCUGUCCGUAAGCUCUAGAGUGACUGACAGACCGCAGUCUCUCGACCUACUCCCGUCGGAGGGCCAGCUGUAGCAGUCAUGAGGGAGCUUCAUAGCUCAGCUCAGAGGAGUGUUUUGGCAGCUGAGGGAGCAGCCCUCUCCUGACAGAACUCGGAGUCAGCCUUCCUGGAUAUCUCCACCAUCCCAGAAGCACUGCCUUACUUCCAAAUGACAAGCCGAGGGGCCUUCACCUCCUCCCCAACUGUAAGGUGCAAGGCUGCUGGGCUUUACUUUCUCAAGACCCAGUGUCCAUCAGGUGGUUCUUUAGAAUUUCUUUGUAAUUCCUAAAAUAUCUUACCCCCCAGGCAGGUCACAUGCUCACUUUAUAAACUCAAACUCCAAUCCCUGAAAACCCAGGGCUGUCAUUUGGAUCUUGAAUGUCUCCCAAAGGACCCUGUGUCAAAAGCUCAGUCAGAGAGUGUUGCUCUUGGGAGGUGGAAGAAACUUUAGGAGCAGGAGGUUAGUGAGAGG